AGAGUUUGAUCCUGGCUCAGGAUGAACGCUGGCGGCGUGCCUAAUACAUGCAAGUCGAACGGGAAGCUUGGAGCGAUCUAAGCUGAGAGUGGCGCACGGGUGAGUAACACAUGGCUGACCUGCCCUCCAGAGGGGGAUAACGGCUGGAAACGGCCGCUAAUACCCCAUACGCUCCCUGAGGUUAGAGGCUUAGGGAGGAAAGCUAUGGUGCUGGAGGAGGGGGCUGUGGCCCAUCAGCUAGUUGGUAGGGUAAAGGCCUACCAAGGCGACGACGGGUAGGGGGCCUGAGAGGGUGACCCCCCACACUGGGACUGAGACACGGCCCAGACUCCUACGGGAGGCAGCAGUAAGGGAUCUUGCGACAAUGGGCGAAAGCCUGACGCAGCAACGCCGCGUGCGGGAUGACGGCCUUCGGGUUGUAAACCGCUUUUCGAGGGGAAGAGGGAGGACGGUACCCUCGGAAUAAGUCUCGGCUAACUACGUGCCAGCAACCGCGGUAAAACGUAGGAGGCGAGCGUUAUCCGGAUUUACUGGGUGUAAAGCGCGUGCAGGCGGUCGUGUAAGUGGUGCGUGAAAGCUCCCGGCUCAACCGGGAGAGGACGUGCCAAACUGCAGGGCUAGAGGCAGGUAGAGGCGUGUGGAAUUCCGGGUGUAGUGGUGAAAUGCGUAGAGAUCCGGAGGAACACCAGUGGCGAAGGCGACACGCUGGGCCUGGCCUGACGCUCAGACGCGAAAGCAUGGGGAGCGAACGGGAUUAGAAACCCCGGUAGUCCAUGCUGUAAACGAUGCUGACUAGGUGUUGCGGGUGAGAUACUCCGGCAGUGCCGAAGCCAACGUGGUAAGUCAGCCACCUGGGGACUACGGCCGCAAGGUUAAAACUCAAAGGAAUUGACGG
Molecule: ribosomal RNA, 895 nt
Filed under: bacterium enrichment culture clone BSK_116
Lineage: Bacteria
Description: bacterial SSU rRNA
Rfam family: Bacterial small subunit ribosomal RNA
Source: RNAcentral